UGGGGGGUGGUGUAACUGGCAGCACAACGGAUUUUGGUUCCGUCGGUCCGGGUUCGAGUCCUGGCCCCCCAG
Molecule: transfer RNA, 72 nt
Filed under: Acidimicrobiia bacterium
Lineage: Bacteria; Bacillati; Actinomycetota; Acidimicrobiia
Description: tRNA-Gln
Rfam family: tRNA
About the family: Transfer RNA (tRNA) molecules are approximately 80 nucleotides in length. Their secondary structure includes four short double-helical elements and three loops (D, anti-codon, and T loops). Further hydrogen bonds mediate the characteristic L-shaped molecular structure. tRNAs have two regions of fundamental functional importance: the anti-codon, which is responsible for specific mRNA codon recognition, and the 3' end, to which the tRNAs corresponding amino acid is attached (by aminoacyl-tRNA synthetases). tRNAs cope with the degeneracy of the genetic code in two manners: having more than one tRNA (with a specific anti-codon) for a particular amino acid; and 'wobble' base-pairing, i.e. permitting non-standard base-pairing at the 3rd anti-codon position.
Source: RNAcentral